AAGAAUUUCUUGAUAUGCAUAUGGACUAGAGUUUAUGAUCUGGGUUCUUCUCCCAAAAGUUUGAUUACAAACCCUUGGCUGUCUGAGCACUCUU
RNAcentral lists this small nucleolar RNA (94 nucleotides) under Prunus persica (peach). RNAcentral describes it as "snoRNA snoZ157". The record is from RNAcentral. Lineage: Eukaryota; Viridiplantae; Streptophyta; Magnoliopsida; Rosales; Rosaceae.